GACGAACGCUGGCGGCAUGCCUAAUACAUGCAAGUCGAGCGAACAGAUGAAGUGCUUGCACUUCUGACGUCAGCGGCGAACGGGUGAGUAGCACGUAAGGAAUCUACCUAUAAGCGGGGGAUAACAUUCGGAAACGGGUGCUAAUACCGCAUAAUAUUUUCUUCCGCAUGGAAGAAAAUUGAAAGACGGCUCUGCUGUCACUUAUAGAUGACCUUGCGGUGCAUUAGUUAGUUGGUGGGGUAACGGCCUACCAAGACGAUGAUGCAUAGCCGACCUGAGAGGGUGAUCGGCCACAUUGGGACUGAGACACGGCCCAAACUCCUACGGGAGGCAGCAGUAGGGAAUCUUCCGCAAUGGGCGAAAGCCUGACGGAGCAAUGCCGCGUGAGUGAAGAAGGCCUUCGGGUCGUAAAACUCUGUUAUAAGAGAAGAGCAAAUUGUAGAGUAACUGCUACAGUCUUGACGGUAUCUUAUCAGAAAGCCACGGCUAACUACGUGCCAGCCGCCGCAGUAA
This 513-nucleotide ribosomal RNA is filed under the name uncultured bacterium. Its description in RNAcentral is "partial 16S ribosomal RNA". It matches the Rfam family "Bacterial small subunit ribosomal RNA", at positions 28 to 523 of the family's 1533-position model. The record is from RNAcentral.